This 460-nucleotide ribosomal RNA is filed under the name uncultured bacterium. Its description in RNAcentral is "partial 16S ribosomal RNA". It matches the Rfam family "Bacterial small subunit ribosomal RNA", at positions 338 to 795 of the family's 1533-position model. The record is from RNAcentral.
CCUACGUGAGGCAGCAGUGAGGAAUAUUGGUCAAUGGACGAGAGUCUGAACCAGCCAAGUAGCGUGAAGGAUGAAUGCCCUAUGGGUUGUAAACUUCUUUUAUAUGGGAAUAAAGUGUUCCACGUGUGUGCUUUUGUAUGUACCAUAUGAAUAAGGAUCGGCUAACUCCGUGCCAGCAGCCGCGGUAAUACGGAGGAUCCGAGCGUUAUCCGGAUUUAUUGGGUGUAAAGGGAGCGUAGGUGGGAUGUUAAGUCAGUUGCGAAAGAUUGGGGCUCAACCGUAAAAGUGCAGUUGAAACUGGCAGUCUUGAGUACAGGAGAGGUGAGCGGAAUUCGUGGUGUAGCGGUGAAAUGCUUAGAUAUCACGAAGAACUCCGAUUGCGAAGGCAGCUCACUGGACUGCAACUGACACUGAGGCUCGAAAGUGUGGGUAUCAAACAGGAUUAGAUACCCGUGUAGUC